UUUAAAGUCUAAUCUGCCCUAUGAGGGGUUAAAUGGCCGCGGUAUUUUGACCGUGCAAAGGUAGCAUAAUAAUUAGUUUUUUAAUUGAAAGCUGGAAUGAACGAUUGGACGAGAAAAUUACUGUCUCAAUUUAAUUUAAUUAGAAUUUUAUUUUUAAGUAAGAAAGCUUAAAUUUUAUUAAAAGACGAGAAGACCCUAUAGAGUUUUAUAACAUUUUAUUUAUAAAUUUUUUAGAAUAUUUUUGUUUGUAUUUUAAUUGUUAUUUUAUUGGGGUGAUAGAAAAAUAUGAUUAACUUUUUUUUUAUUAUAAAUUCAUUAAUAUAUGUUUAAUUGAUCCAUUAUUUAUGAUUAUAAGAUUAAAUUACCUUAGGGAUAACAGCGUAAUUUUUUUUUAGAGUUCUUAUCGAAAAAAUAGAUUGCGACCUCGAUGUUGGAUUAAAAUAAAUUAUUGGUGUAGAAGCUAUAUAAUUAGGUCUGUUCGACCUUUAAAAUUUUACA
Molecule: ribosomal RNA, 498 nt
Filed under: Tetraserica pingjiangensis
Lineage: Eukaryota; Metazoa; Arthropoda; Insecta; Coleoptera; Scarabaeidae
Description: partial 16S large subunit ribosomal RNA
Rfam family: Bacterial large subunit ribosomal RNA
Source: RNAcentral